AAUCAACUAUGAUUCCCUUAGUAACGGCGAGUGAACAGGGAAAAGCCCAAAUUUGUAAUCUGGCACUUUUUACAAGUGUCCGAGUUGUAAUUUGUAGAGCUGUUAUCCGUACUGGACCAUGUACAAGUCUGUUGAAAAGCAGCAUCAUUGAAGGUGAAAAUCCUGUAGAUGAUAUGGACUACCAGUAUAUUUGUGAUACGGUUUCUAAGAGUCGAGUUGUUUGGGAAUGCAGCUCAAAGUGGGUGGUAAAUUCCAUCUAAGGCUAAAUAUAAGUGAGAGACCGAUAGCAAACAAGUACCGUGAGGGAAAGAUGAAAAGAACUUUGAAAAUAGAGUUAACAGUACGUGAAAUUGCUGAAAGGGAAACGUUUGAAGUUAGUUUUGUAUUCGUUGGAUCAGCUUCGCAAGGAGUGUAUUCUGAUGAUAAGCAAGUCAACAUCAGUCUAUGAGUGUUGGAUAAGGGUUUUGAGAAUGUAGCAAUUUAAUUGUGUUAUAGCUUGAGACUUGGAUACGAUGCUUUGGAUUGAGGAACGCGUAGUAAGC
RNAcentral lists this ribosomal RNA (542 nucleotides) under Melampsora epiphylla. RNAcentral's name for it is "eukaryotic LSU rRNA". It matches the Rfam family "Eukaryotic large subunit ribosomal RNA", at positions 63 to 606 of the family's 3401-position model. The record is from RNAcentral. Lineage: Eukaryota; Fungi; Basidiomycota; Pucciniomycetes; Pucciniales; Melampsoraceae.